Rhodocollybia butyracea is the source of this 85-nucleotide non-coding RNA. The record is from the annotation of a GenBank genome assembly. NCBI's taxonomy places the organism in Eukaryota, Fungi, Basidiomycota, Agaricomycetes, Agaricales, Omphalotaceae.
GGCAUAUGGUGUAGGGGCGAUCACGUUCGCUUUGCAUAAGGAAAAUCGGUUGCAAAAGCUCUCUGGUUCAAAUCUGGAUCCGCCA